RNAcentral lists this long non-coding RNA (869 nucleotides) under Triticum aestivum (bread wheat). RNAcentral's name for it is "long non-coding RNA (TAES_LNC007916)". Lineage: Eukaryota; Viridiplantae; Streptophyta; Magnoliopsida; Poales; Poaceae. The record is from RNAcentral.
AGUAUCUUGACAAAAAUUCAGUAGAAAACAAAUUUCUGUGCAAGGGGAUAUUUCAAUGACUCCAGGAAAAGACAGUACAAGCAAAAAUUUCAACAUUCCCGGAGAAGUUUUUGCAUGAAUAUGAAACAAAAGUAGUCUUCGAUAAUCCACAUUGAAGGUAUACACAUUAAUAAUACAUUCCAUGUCAUGAUUCCAUGGUUAUAAAAGAACUUUUUUGUCACCAUUUGUACAAAUGUUCAUAGAGAUUAUUAACAAACUGUGCCAGCUAUACAUCAAAGCUGAAUAAGGUUUCAGAAUUUUCCACUGAAGAGCAUCCUCUGCUGGACGAACAUACUGCAGGCAAACAAAAUAGUUACUUUCAAGAGUCCAGAGGAAGUUGAAAUUGCAUUACAUUAGAAUUAACCUAAAAACGUAUAUCAUUUUAUCUAAUUUUAGCUUCCAAAUUUGCAAGAUCUUUAGAAGCAAUAUACAUGUAUUGAUGUAUAGACCUAGAACUUUGAAUAUACCAGUGGGGAAUGAAUCAAUCAUGGCAUUGUUUUUUAAAGGCCUACAGACAAUAAGACAACCAUCAUGAGAUGUUCUUGUUCAAUAACAAACUUGUAUAAAUCUAAGAAAUUAACAGAGCGUGUAAGAGGUGAAACCACACAAAAAUAAUUAAAAGGAAAUUCAUUAGGUUCGAUACUUACAGUUGCUACAUCAAACGCCUCCCUCAGUGCACCAGCUGGAAAAAAAGUCGGAUUCUGUCUGCCAUCACGCAUACAACAAAGGUCAAAAUCUAAGCAAAAAAUUUUAUUUCAAAAAGCCAAGCCUCAUAAAAUACCAGUAGAUCAAAAGACUAACCAAGGGAUGGACAAAUCUUUACAUCAGUU